GACGAACGCUGGCGGCGUGCCUAAUACAUGCAAGUAGAACGCACAGUUUAUACCGUAGCUUGCUACACCAUAGACUGUGAGUUGCGAACGGGUGAGUAACGCGUAGGUAACCUGCCUGGUAGCGGGGGAUAACUAUUGGAAACGAUAGCUAAUACCGCAUCAUAUUGAUUAUUGCAUGAUAAUUGAUUGAAAGAUGCUAUUGCAUCACUACCAGAUGGACCUGCGUUGUAUUAGCUAGUAGGUGAGGUAACGGCUCACCUAGGCGACGAUACAUAGCCGACCUGAGAGGGUGAUCGGCCACACUGGGACUGAGACACGGCCCAGACUCCUACGGGAGGCAGCAGUAGGGAAUCUUCGGCAAUGGACGAAAGUCUGAACGAGCAACGCCGCGUGAGUGAAGAAGGGUUUCGGAUCGUAAAGCUCUGUUGUAAGAGAAGAACGGGUGUGAGAGUGGAAAGUUCACACUGUGACGGUAUCUUACCAGAAAGGGACGGCUAACUACGUG
This 505-nucleotide ribosomal RNA is filed under the name uncultured bacterium. RNAcentral describes it as "partial 16S ribosomal RNA". It matches the Rfam family "Bacterial small subunit ribosomal RNA", at positions 28 to 507 of the family's 1533-position model. The record is from RNAcentral.